GGAGAGGUGCCAGAGUGGUUGAACGGACCGGUUUCGAAAACCGGCAGAGCGCGUAAGCGUUCUCGGGGGUUCGAAUCCCCCCCUCUCCG
Molecule: transfer RNA, 89 nt
Filed under: Phycisphaerales bacterium
Lineage: Bacteria; Pseudomonadati; Planctomycetota; Phycisphaerae; Phycisphaerales
Also listed under: 1 other name
Description: tRNA-Ser
Rfam family: tRNA
About the family: Transfer RNA (tRNA) molecules are approximately 80 nucleotides in length. Their secondary structure includes four short double-helical elements and three loops (D, anti-codon, and T loops). Further hydrogen bonds mediate the characteristic L-shaped molecular structure. tRNAs have two regions of fundamental functional importance: the anti-codon, which is responsible for specific mRNA codon recognition, and the 3' end, to which the tRNAs corresponding amino acid is attached (by aminoacyl-tRNA synthetases). tRNAs cope with the degeneracy of the genetic code in two manners: having more than one tRNA (with a specific anti-codon) for a particular amino acid; and 'wobble' base-pairing, i.e. permitting non-standard base-pairing at the 3rd anti-codon position.
Source: RNAcentral